GCCGGUGUUUAUAGCGAUGAGGACCCACCUGUUCCCAUCCCGAACACAGUAGUUAAGCUCAUCUACGCCGAAAAUACUUGGCGGGCGACUGCCUGGUAAGAUAGGUCGAUGCCGGCU
RNAcentral lists this ribosomal RNA (117 nucleotides) under Provencibacterium sp. The record is from RNAcentral. Lineage: Bacteria; Bacillati; Bacillota; Clostridia; Eubacteriales; Oscillospiraceae.